RNAcentral lists this ribosomal RNA (468 nucleotides) under uncultured bacterium. Its description in RNAcentral is "partial 16S ribosomal RNA". It matches the Rfam family "Bacterial small subunit ribosomal RNA", at positions 28 to 507 of the family's 1533-position model. The record is from RNAcentral.
GACGAACGCUGGCGGCGUGCUUAACACAUGCAAGUCGAACGGAAAGGCCCUGCUUUUGUGGGGUGCUCGAGUGGCGAACGGGUGAGUAACACGUGAGUAACCUGCCCUUGACUUUGGGAUAACUUCAGGAAACUGGGGCUAAUACCGGAUAGGAGCUCCUGCUGCAUGGUGGGGGUUGGAAAGUUUCGGCGGUUGGGGAUGGACUCGCGACUUAUCAGCUUUUUGGUGGGGUAGUGGCUUACCAAGGCUUUGACGGGUAGCCGGCCUGAGAGGGUGACCGGCCACAUUGGGACUGAGAUACGGCCCAGACUCCUACGGGAGGCAGCAGUGGGGAAUAUUGCACAAUGGGCGGAAGCCUGAUGCAGCAACGCCGCGUGCGGGAUGACGGCCUUCGGGUUGUAAACCGCUUUCGCCUGUGACGAAGCGUGAGUGACGGUAAUGGGUAAAGAAGCACCGGCUAACUACGUG